Molecule: long non-coding RNA, 184 nt
Organism: Sinocyclocheilus grahami
Lineage: Eukaryota; Metazoa; Chordata; Actinopteri; Cypriniformes; Cyprinidae
Exons: 3
Source: RefSeq, a predicted model, not a curated record
UUGUAAAAGCUCUGAAGACUCAGAGGACGAGUGGGUGGAGGCCGGGCCUCCGUCAGGGGGCGGAGACAAGGCCUGGAAGGCGGAGCAUGUAUCCACGCCCACUGCUAGCUCAACCAGUACUAACCAAGUAAGAUCCUACUCUGUUACGUAUUAGAUCAGUAAUUUCUCCCAACAUUCCCAAAAU